RNAcentral lists this ribosomal RNA (618 nucleotides) under uncultured bacterium. Its description in RNAcentral is "bacterial SSU rRNA". The stretch from base 1 to 520 matches the Rfam family "Bacterial small subunit ribosomal RNA", at positions 338 to 873 of the family's 1533-position model. The record is from RNAcentral.
CCUACGGGAGGCAGCAGUGGGGAAUAUUGGACAAUGGGCGAAAGCCUGAUCCAGCAAUGCCGCGUGAGUGAUGAAGGCCUUAGGGUCGUAAAGCUCUUUUACCCGGGAUGAUAAUGACAGUACCGGGAGAAUAAGCCCCGGCUAACUCCGUGCCAGCAGCCGCGGUAAUACGGAGGGGGCUAGCGUUGUUCGGAAUUACUGGGCGUAAAGCGUGCGUAGGCGGUUAUUCAAGUCAGAGGUGAAAGCCCGGGGCUCAACCCCGGAACGGCCUUUGAAACUAGGUAGCUAGAAUCUUGGAGAGGUCAGUGGAAUUCCGAGUGUAGAGGUGAAAUUCGUAGAUAUUCGGAAGAACACCAGUGGCGAAGGCGACUGACUGGACAAGUAUUGACGCUGAGGCACGAAAGCGUGGGGAGCAAACAGGAUUAGAUACCCUGGUAGUCCACGCCGUAAACGAUGAUAACUAGCUGUUCGGGUACUUGGUAUCUGAGUGGCGCAGCUAACGACAUUAAGUUAUUCCGUCCGUCGGGUAGGUACGGUCGGCGAAGAAUUAAAACUUAAAAUUAAGUAAGUUAGUACGGCGUGAGACGUGCCGAACGGACGACGACGAGGGGAGGUAGG